Non-coding RNA from Camelina sativa (false flax), 814 nucleotides. NCBI's taxonomy places the organism in Eukaryota, Viridiplantae, Streptophyta, Magnoliopsida, Brassicales, Brassicaceae. The record is from RefSeq and is a predicted model, not a curated record.
GGAUUCUUCCAGAAGUUUACUAUUGAUGUCCUCAUCACUUUUGUAGGAAAAUGCAGUGACUAUCUCUAUAAGUAUGCUUGGUGGGAGAGAUAACAAUUUUAAAAGAAUGUGUAACACAUAAGUUCGUGCAGGGCAUGUAUCAUUUAUCAAAGAUGUAGCUGCCACUGAACCUCCAAUGCAUCUUCAGCACUUACUCAAAGUGCUUCAAACAAGAGGUGAAACAAUCAUCUCUCCUGGAGCUAAGCAGGGACUGAUACCUCUUGCUAUUCCGCUUUCGAAGAAUCCUUCAGGUAAGGUCACACAUUUGAUCGAAUCCAUUUGCUUUUUAUUUUUAUCAGGAUCUUUUGUUUAAUCUUGUGUGUUUCUGGUUUAUUGUCUAAGUAGGCUUACUGCACUUGUGAGAUGGCCUACUGCUCCUCUAGGGUUAGAGAGAUUUGGAUCAUUCUUGAUAACUGUUGCAAUGGUAAAUAAGUAUAUGUUGUUGGGAUUUUCUUGAUUUUAACUUUUGCUAUAUGAGAACAUUAGAACAGAAUGGAUAUGCCAGUUGUGGAAGUUUGGAGGAGUGGUGAUGUGAUUCUUGAUGCUCUGAUACCACUUGAUGUGAUUCUCCCAAGGAUCAACACUCUAAGGUAGGUAGACUGGUAACCCUAGAAUUCCGAUGGCUCGCAAAGCUGGAUGAUAAGGCGUGAGAUAAACUCGAAAAUCCUUAUGCCCCAAACUCUCUUAAAACAAACCAAACAAAGUAAGGCGGUGGAACUUUAGAUAAAAGCUUCGCGGAGACAGAUGAUAAGGCGUGAGACGAAUCCCAAAAAUC